UCGAGGGAUUAGCCCCUCCCGCCUGGCGGCAGCCAAAGGCGGAAGAACGCGAGCCUGGGGCGGAGCUCCUUGAGCGGGGCGGGGCGGGCGGAGUGCCUCGGCGGAGGGGCCCGGCGGGAACAAACAGCCGCCGCCGCGGGAGCGCGGCUCGGGUGGCCAGAGGCGGGUCCUCCUCUUCCCCGCAGACUCCUCAAACUUUCAGUUCCCUGGAGCCGCUGCCCUCAGUGCGCUCAGCCCUGGAUGUUAAGGUUCACGGGGACGCCAGCAGGAGCCCGGAGCAGUAGCGAGAGUCCCCACCCAUUAUCUCCCCAAGGCAGUGCCCGGGCCACUAAGGCCGAAGCGCAGUUGGCGCGCCAGCGGAGCCUCAGACGCCGGGACCGACGCCGCCGGAGUGGGGCCUGCCGGAGCCGGAGUGGCUUCCGGACCAAGAGGAGACGCACUUGAGUGAUCGCGAGGAGCAAACUUGGCGUUCUCAGCCUCGGUCUUCGGAGAGGUGAGAGAUUCCGGCUGCGCCCCUCUCCUCCCCUCCAAGGCCAGGACCCAGCCACCCAUCCCUUUGCCUCGCCGCAGGACUCCAGAUGUGGUAAUGUGUGCGGGGAGACCCAAGGAGCGCGCCGCCUGCCCGAAGCCCGCUUCCCCAAGCUUCUUUGGGGCGCUUUGAUCGCAUUUCGGGAGCGCGGACCCGUCCAUCUCUCUUGAGUUUGCCUGUAUCCGACCUUUUUCUGUCUUGGUAUCCGUUUGUCUAACUCAGGCUCUGUGAUUCUGUGUUUCUCUCACCCUCGGUGAAUCUCUGCUUCUAUUUCCUACGGAAACCCUGCAUUUGUUUGGAUGUCUGUUCGUGAAUCUGAGAAUCCCUCACUCAGUUUCUCCGUUUCUCCCACCAUCAGACGCACGGCAGGACCCCCACCCUUCCCCCACCCUUUUCUGGCUGGACUUGUAGGCUAUACAGACAGCAGGACCCCCACGGAGACCUCCCUCAAUGAACCCUGACCUCAGACGCAAGCCAGUGUUGCCUUCAUCUUUCAGGAUCCUGUGCACACAGUGUUGGUCCUGUGCCCUUUUUUCUUACCAGCUGGGUUCCUGCCCAUGCCGUUAGGCCUCCUUCUCCCCUGGCCUCCCUCCAGGAACCCAGCAACUAGUAGCUCCAGCUCAGACUGGGUCCAUCGCAACCUCUGGGGGUGACAGGGGAAAUGGCCACUGGAAUUGGUCAAGUACUGAGCGGAUGGAUGGGCUGCUGCCCCAACAGCGCCCCGCAGUGGUCAAAGGUCCAGUAUGCGAGGCCCGAGACCCAGCUUCGCUCAGCUGUCACAGGCUGUAGGACAGUCAGCAAGUUACUUCCCUUGUCAGCCUGUUUCCUGCUCUAUAUAUAGUAGUUAAGAGCAAAGACCCUGAAGCCGGGCUGCUGGGAUCCCAGUCCUGGCUUCACCACUUACCCGCUUUGUAAUAUCUUUCUGUAACUUUGCACCUCUGUUUCUUCCUCUGUAAAAGUGAGGUUAAAAGCAUCCAUGUCAUAAGUAAUGUGUAAAAGUAGCCAUAUUACUAUAGACUACUUACAAAGAGGAUAUUGAGGGCACUUUGCUGACUCCUGGGAAGAGAGAAGGGGGUUGGGGGUAGUGUAGUCUUUCACCAGGAUCUCAAACCCUGGACUAGCCUUCGGCUGGGUUACUGCUGCUGUCUAAUCCUCUCCAGUCACUAUGCUGAGUAGGUCCCCUGUAGCUAAGUCCUGGGAGCGGGCAGGAGGGGAUUUGUAGCCCCUGUAGGCUACAUCUCAGUAGGGCAUGUGAGGGUAGAUGAAAUCUCCCUUUUAUCCAACAGCAGCCUCCAACCUAGUGUAUUCCACAGGUUGGGCAACAGACACCCGGAGUGGAGGAGCAGGGAAUCACCUAGUCUUCUGCAACAUGACAGAGCAAGGCCAGGUGCAACUCUUGUCACGGAAUUCUCAUGAAAGGUUCUGCAUCCUCCCCAGCCAUCUAGCUAAGAGCAGAAAGAGUGGAAGGCAGGUCUGGAUAUUCAUAUCCUAUGAGAGCAAGUCUGCUGCCCCCCCUCUUCUGGGACCUCAGACCAAAGGGAUCCCCGGAGUGUGCUGGGUCUGCAUAAGUAGACUGUCCUUGGGAGAAAAAGAGGUCCAGUCCUCAAACCAUGGCCAGGAAAUUAGACAGGGACCAGUGGCCCUGGAAUCAGAAUUUCCAGAUGAUAGGACCCUCCAGGAAAAAAGAAAAAAAGGCCUUGGAGAGAAAUAUUUUGCAUGAGUCCAAAUAGACUCACACUUCCAGGGUUGCUGAAUUUAGCAGAUUUAUUUUACCUGGCAAACCUGUGCCUACAACAAGCUUGCUAAUUACUACAUGGAGUUCUCUCUGACACUCGCAGACACCCCACAUCAUCCACCACACACACCCCAGCUCCAACCCAGCUCAGCUCUGCUAAUGUCUAAGUAAGUGGAGAGAAAACAGCACUGGCAUCAUUUCAGCUCCAUCUCACUUUCUGAAUGUCUUCAUUUUUAAAAUGGCAAAUGUGAACCAGUAGCUUCUUUCCUUUCCAGCACUCUCCUGGUUCCCCAGGCUAAAGCCCCCUGCCCAAGUUCAGGGUAAGACUGACUGAGGCAUUUACUGACGAAAUAUCCUGGUUCUAAUGCUCCAGAAAAGACUCUAUGGAGCAGCUGCAGCCACCAUCCCCCACCUCUGCUUGGCCCUGCUGCACACUCUGUGCUCCUGAGACCCAGGUCAAGGGAAGGGGAUUACGCCCCCUCCACCCCUGCUUACAUGGAAUUCUUAAAGAAUCAACCAGAUUCUUCAGAACACACACAGUUGUUCUAGGAGUGGAAACUGAGGCCCAGGAGAUCAUGUGACUUGCUAGGCUUCUGAAGGGCCCUGGGUUGGGCUGGACCCAUGUAUACAGACUCCCAGCCUAGGGCUCCUAUUUACCAAAUAACUCUUCUUAACCCCUGUUGGAGCUCCACUCUUGCCUGUGGGAGAAGUGUUUCUGGGAGCCUCUCAGCCAUCCCAAGACUCUGGGCAAAUUUGAUUUUUAACAAUGCCAGGAGUAGAAGCACUAAGGCUAGGAGAAGGGCAUCCCACAUUCGGGAUUCGUUUAGUUUCCUGCCAUUCUCCCAUGGCUCCAGUCUUUCCUGACUGUAGGCUCAGCCUCUUUGACGUCUUCGAGUCUUGUCUGCCACUCCCCUCCACGAAAAAGUGGAUGCUCCCCCGGAAGCCUGGGCUCUAGCGCCCAUGCCUGCAGCCUCCAAGAUGCAGAAGGUGACUGACUGCGGGUCUUGGUUAUAGUGUCACUGGUAGUUCCCGGCCUCCCUCUUCCUCUGUCUCACUAUUUAGCCACCUCCCUCGAUCAACCCAGAAACGAUUGGAAUGAAGCACUGGGGGGGGGGGCGUGUUUAGGGGUUAUCCCCUCAAAAAUGUUCGGAGCACCGGGGAGAAGUCGAUUCGUGUUUAUUGCAAUGUGUUGCUACCGAUGGCGUCCCUUCCCUUAUGGCUCCUCCCUUCCCUUCUGGUCCCUGUCGACGUGCUGUUCUCCCCAGCUCGCGGGAAAGGAGGGCUCUCGGAUAAUUAUAAGAAUAUAAUUAAGUCAAUUGCGAAACCGGCCAAGAGUGGCGCUGAGCUAGCUAGAGGCAGGGUUGCGGCGCGAAGGUCUUCCGCGGCCUUUCCACGGUUCCAGCCCGGUGAGCGCAGAGGUCCGCCCCCGGUGCAGCCCGGCUGCAUAGUGCCGCCUGAGGACCCCGCAGCUGCACACGUCUCUAGUUUAUUCACAAACCCAGCCAGCCUCGGGAAAGAGGCGGCACCCGCGCAGCCACCCCCUUUUCCAGCCCCUCCGCGGGGCCGCAGCUCUGGAGCGAGAUGGUUGUUCGGCCGCAGUGGGUCCAUUUCCCGACCCCUUUCUCCUCCAGAUCUUCGCCUGCUCAAGAGCGAUCGGCUCCGUUGGCCCCGGGUGGGAAGAGGGAGACUCCAGAUCGUGUGACCUGCAGGAGCGAUGCGGCGGGGCUCCCCACACGCGGGAGCAGGACUCGGGGUUAAGAGUUUAGGGAGAGGCCGGCCUCUCUGCAAGCACAGAAAUGGCAGUGCCUCCGGUGUGUCCACUUUCACCUUGAGCCCACCUGCCCAGCCCAGGCACCGGCUCAGGGGUCAGCGCCUCUACACCUCUCGGAGGAAAUGUCUUUCUCCCCUUCCCGUGUGCAUGGCCACUGCCCCAGGUCUAUGUGGUGGGGGCUCGCAGGAGCACCCUCAAGCGCCUUCACUGCGCAGUGGCCGGACCAGGGCGCUGCGAAGCCUGUGCACUCUUGUUCGUUCGCGGGAAGAGGGUUGCAGGUUCAGGAGAAGGUGGAAAUAGUUCCGCUCCCACAAGCACCCGACCUGGGACGCCGGCUUUCUCAGCAACUGCGGCAAGGCAGGCCCCAUGCGCUUAUGAGAUAUGCCGCUGGGGCAGGGGAGUUGGGGACGCUUCCAGGUGUGUCGGGACGUGGGCCUCAGGUCUAAAUGCUCUGCUAAGUACGUCCUGGUUCCUGGUCCACGCGAGUGUUUCUGCGCCUCCGGGCCACAGUGGCUCUGUGCCCGAGUAUGUCCCUGAGCGACCGGCGCCCUUGCGGGGUCCUCCCCUCCCGACCGCACAUCUGUGCAGGGGACAGCCCUGGAAGGCUCGCCAGCCAGGACCACAGCUUCACCUCGGGCGGGGCCUGAUAGGGCGCGACUUGUUCGGGGAUUCCAGACCCGCUCCGGGCCGCGGCGUGACCCCGGCGGGGAAGGAGGAUCUUGCUGGGGCAGCAGUGCCUCAGGAACGGGACGGCCUUCCACAGCCCUGAAUUGGAGCCAGAGGUGCAGAGCCAUGUGAACCUGGUCCCCUACGCUACACACACAGACACACGCGCGCGCGCGCGCGCGCGCGCGCGAUUUAGCCUUUCGGAGCCCCAGGCAGGGUAACUGGUGAGGCCAUAAGUCCCCGCUCAGGCGAGGAAAUACUGCCGGCGCCUGAGCCCGCUGCAGCUGCUGCGGAGCCGCGUAAGCCCCACCAAAGCGGAGCGAGGGGACCACGGGAGUCCCGUCCCUGCCGCGAAGACGCUGGUGACGGAUUCUUGGGAAACAGCGACCCCUGGAGGAGCCUCGAAACCACACGAAGAGGCAGGAACUGGAUGACUAGGUCGGGGACCAGUGUCCCUUCCCCAACCCACUCCUUUGAAAAUCAUCCAGAGACUCAUUACCUCAGGAUUCCUCUUUGUGCAUACUUGCUUCCUUUCCCAGUCCGUACCUAGGCCUCAAAUCCUAGCUUAGAAUCCCGACUUCUCCAGAAAGGAGCCUUCUUGAAAGCCCAAUUCAUCUUCCCGUCUUCCUACUUUGAGCUCCUCAGAACCUAAAGCCUGAACUCGACUCUAGAGCUAACAGCACUAGCAACCUGCUUUCUGCCUCCCUUUCUCCAAAGAGACCAUUGGUCCAUCCACUCCACUCAUCCUUUGCAUUCCAUGCUGGAUGUGUUCUCCAACCACCCUCAUCCUUGCCACUACCAGUAAAGAAUGGAAGUCAUUUAUUCCAAAAUUGGACUGUAGGUUUUCAAAGUUAGUUUCAAAGAUGGGUAAAUUGAGACCCAGACCGAGGACUGACUUGCCCAAGGUCACACAGCAAAUUGAUUGCAGAGGUGGAACUAGAUCCCAGACUCCCAUUUCCCAGCCCAGAGCAUUCUCCCUUUUACCUGCAUGGGGAGGGCAAAUGCAAGAAGGAACGUGCGUGUCUGUGUGUCUGUGUGUCUGUGUGUGUGUGUGUUGGGGCAGGGAUGAGGAGUCUGCUCCAGGACGGGGCAGUAAGGAAGGACGGCAGGGCAAAGUUGCCCUGGGAGGUCAGACUCUUCCUUCCCCCCAGCACUCACCCAAAUCAAGCUACUCUGAAAGGCUCCAAAUUUCAUGGGGUUGGCUGAGUGUCUUAUACUGGGGCUGGGAACAGCUUCAAUUCAGGCAAAUACCACCCUUUCCUCUGCCCUGGAAAGGGAGAGGGAGACUGUUAAUACAUACACACAGGGUGCAGCUGAGACCUCAGAUCAGCAGGAGCAGGCCUCUGGUGCCUGCAGUUAGAAAGUUAAAGGAGAAGCUGGGAGGGUGAUUUGCAUAUAAUUUGUAUGCGGCUCCAGUGAUACAUGUCCAGCAGCCUGAGACCUUCUCAGAGGAGCUUUCCUUCUGCAAGACGUGUGCUUCUUUGCACAGACUACCAGGCAGACUGGCCCCUGCCUCCUUGUCCAGCCUUGUCUCCAACCCUUGUGCUGUAUUCACAACUGAUUUACUUUCCCUUACCUCUUCACCUUUGCAUGCAGUUCCCUCCUGCCUGGCUCACUCCUAAUCCUGUGUCCAUUUCAAAUGUCAAGCUCUAUGAGCUGCCUCCCCCAACAGCAUCCCACACUGGUCAGGCUGUGGAGGGGCCCUGCCUCUGGGCAACAAAAGCACUAAUUCCCUCUCUUGUCAUGAUUUGGUUCCUAGUCUGCCACCCUCUGGAGACUGUGAGCUCCUUGAGAACAGGCAUUAUGUUGUCUUCGUCAUCACUGUUCCUCUUCUACAAAGUGAGGAUAAUAGUUGUACCUGCCUCACUGAGUGAUUGUGAGAUCAAAUGAGAAUGCAUAUCAGGCACUUAGCCCAGUGCCUGAAACUUUGAAAGAAGCUCAGUAAGUGCUCCCCACCAUGAUAACCAUCAUUAUUAAACACUCUACCUCCUGCCAGGCAUGAAAUCCAACAUAUAGUAGGUACUCAAUUAAUGUUAGAUAUGUGGAUACGUGAAUGAAUGAAUGAAUGAAUGAAUGAAUGAAUGAUAUAACUUAUUUCUGACUCUUUCUGGGACUUCCCAGAAAGUUAUCUUACAACAUUCAAUUAGAAAUAUGUGUUCUCUAAGGACAGACAUUAUUUCUCCCCCAUCAGUCCCAUUCCUGAAGGGAGGAGCACAUGCUCCCAUUGGAAAGAGUUUUCCAUGAUCCCUGAUGCCAGCAGUCAUUGGCUUUUUCUUUCAUGCUGUCUGCCUCAGUUUCUUUCUUUUAAAAUGGUUCUGACCAAUCAAACCAGCCAAACCCUUCCAAAAUCUUCAGGGAAUUCUCCAUCACUUGUAAGACAAAACUCAAUCUCCUUAGCAUGAUGAGCUGAACAUGCUCAGUCUUGGGAUGUCUCACCUCUCUGUUGGGGAAAACCUCCCCUCCUGUAUUCCAUGUGGUCCUGAUGAUACUGUUUAAUCUCUGCGCCCCUCACACUUACCUCCAGGAGCCGCCAGACAACCUGGCUGGAUCAAACAUAGCAUUGUGAGUCCAAAGCCAAGUGAUAGGUCUAAGCAGGAGUAAGUGACCUAAGCUGAGCCAAUCACUCCUCCUAUAAGAUUUGAUAUAAGGACUCCGGGGCUCUGGGAGGGUGCUUCUCCUUUUGGGUCAGAAGAUCAGCGCAUAGGUUUCACUGCCAGCAGCCAGCCUUCCUGCCAUGUGGAGAGAGCUGUUGGACAUCAGUGCCCACCCACAGGAAAAAAAAAAACACCCUAAGGAGACAAAGCUUAGUAACAGUGUCAAGUCCUCUGGCUCUGCCUGAAACUGGAACCCUUAGACUUCCCAGACAUUCCAAAGAUAUUCCCCUUUUUGUUUAAGGUAGGUUGAAUUGAAUUUCUGCUAGUUUGAGUUUAGCUUCACAAACAGCAGAGCCACAGGGGAGAAGGAUCCUGGAUUUCUGAGAUCACAGAGGAGCCGUAUCAUCCUGAACUGCCUGCACAGACUUUCAUGUGAAAAGGAAAUAAACUUCAGUCUUGGUUAAGCCA
This is a non-coding RNA of Vicugna pacos (alpaca), 7763 nucleotides long. The record is from RefSeq and is a predicted model, not a curated record. NCBI's taxonomy places the organism in Eukaryota, Metazoa, Chordata, Mammalia, Artiodactyla, Camelidae.